GUAUAAAUACCAAUUCCAAAUGCAAAGAAAAAUAUUAUUUCUUGCAUUCUAAAUGCAAAGAAAAAUAUUAUUUCUUGCAUUGGAUCAGAUGGGGAAAAACAGGAAAGGAAAUAAGAAGGAUUAACAGUGAUAUCACAUUGCAUGACAAACAGUCAAGAAUACUUAAACCUAGGAUCUAUCAUUCUGCCAGAAAUUGCAUAUAAGUCUUGGUGCUGAUAAUGCCCUCUCCUGGUGAUGCUGUUGCAACUAAGUCUAAGUGUCAAUUAUUUCAAAGACCUACAUACAGAGCAUGUAGGAUAUAUGUACUAGAGUCACAGAGACUGAUCAGUACAAAAUGUCAUUGGCAAUGCCUUUUCCCCCACCUUACUCUAGGUAAAUUAUUUUAUAGAGGUAAGAGAUACCACAUGCUGUUUUCAUUCAUUCUUUUGUGUGUAUGCAUGUGUGCAUGUGCGCAUACAUACACUUGUGUGUUUUACCUCCUAAAUAAUGCUUUCCAUGUCAUCUGUAUAUUUAUGAUAGCUCAAAGACAUGGGUGUGUGGAUCUAAUUAAAAAUGUGAAAGGGUUUAGCAGCCUGCUGCUUUCCUGUGAGUCUCCUGUUGCCAACUCUUGGCAGCUCUGCUGUCAGUGAGCCAAAUGUUUAGUCUUCAGCUGAACUACUGCCAGGGUGUUGCUCUGCAUUCUGGGACAACAAAGCCUGGAGGAACUAUAUUAAAACUCUCUCUCAGAAGGAGAAUGUACAAUGUGCAGGACUUUACUCCCCCACAAGUAAAGUCACAGAGAAAAUCCACUUUUGCCUGUUGUACCGUAGGAACUUUCCAAGGAGAAAAAAAAAUAAAGAACCCCAGAAUUAUUUGCUGAACUUUCACAAGCUGCAGUCUAAUGACUAUGCUCAGGGCAUUAAGCUAUUAUUCUUAUGGUGGGGGAAAAUCAUUUCUAUCAUUUGGGAACAGAUCUUCUCUGUAAAAUUUCAAACAAGAUAAUUGUUCAUUGGUUUCAAAGAAGAUAAAUUGCUUUGAAAGAAAAACAAAAAUGGAGAUGUACAAAUUUUCAGAUAAAUAAGGAUUAGAGUUUGCAGAAUUCCCAAGCAAUUCCCUAAGCUAUUGUUCUUAUGGGGGGAAAUAUCAUUUCUAUCAUUUGGGAACAGAUCUUCUCUGUAAAAUUUCAAACAAGAUAAUUGUUCAUUGGCUUCAGAGAAGAUAAUUGUGGACUAAAUUGCUUUGAAUGAAAACAAAACUGGAGAUGUACAAAUUUCCAGAUAAAUAAGGAUUAGAGUUUUCCGAAUUCCCAAGCAACAUGGCCGAUGGAACCAAUAACGUCCAGAGGAAAUUUGAGAACGCAAUACUCAUUGCAUGAAUGCAAUAUAUAAAGGUAGUACUAGUCUUAAUAAUUUAUAAUGGUAUCCAAAUGGUCCCCUCCUGGUGGUGCAUUGGUUAGAAUGCAGUUUGACUCUGCCCAUUCUGAAUUCGAACCUGAUGGAUUUGAAGUUGACUCAGCCUUCUGAGGUUGGUAAAAUAAGGACCCAGAUUGCUGAGGGCAAUAUGCUGAUGUUGUAAACUAUCCAGAGAGUUUUUGAAAGCAUUAUGGAGUAAUAUAUAAGUCUAGCAGUAGCAAUAGCAUUUACACUUGUAUUGCACUUCAAAGUGCUUUGCAGCCCUCUCUAAGCAGUUUACAGCAUAUUGCCCCCCACAAUCUGGAUGGAAGGCUGAGUCAACUUCUAUUGCUCCUGCUGAGGAAAAAAAUAUGUUUCAAAAGAUUUCCAUGACCUUAAAAGUUUUUAAUUUAAUGCACUCUUAUAUUUUGUGCACCACCUAAAGUAAAUAUCUCUCUUGUUCAAAAGCAAGUCUGCCUCAAGGUCCUAGACUUCUCAGUAGUUUCCAGUUUUAUAUAAAUGUUUCCAGGAAAGGGAAGGAGGUGUUUGCAAUACAAGAGUGUAAAAUAUUCUGAGCACUGAACUAAACAACCAUGCUGGAAGGAUGGUAUUGAGUUGCAGAAUGUUCAAUGUUCCAACUUGCAAGAGAAAGUUGUUUAUUUGUUUUGGAUUCUUCCAAGUCAGGGAAACCUGAGGACAGUAUUAGAUUCUAUUUGCCAUUGGCUGUGGAUAGUUAAGGGGAGGAGAAAUAAGAAUGGUAGUAUGAGAGAGGCACUUUAAUACAUACUUGCUCCCUGUCUAAUAGGGAAAUUUACUGUUGUCUUUAAACUCUUUGAUCUAAGAAUAUUUUAAAUUAUAUGCAACAUAUGCUUUACAGUUAAUGUUGCUUUGAUAUUGAGUUUACAGUUUAUAAAAUAGGAAAACUAUCUUGAUUGGUUUAUUGAGCUUAGCAGGCAGAUUUUCAAAUGCAAAAAGUAUGUAUUAAGAAAAAAAUACCAAGUACGUUGUUGAUGAUUUUUAUCGUUGAUUAUGAGUUAUGUUAAAUACAUUGCUAUUGCUUUUUUUGCUAGAACCAGUUUUGCAUCUGUGCAGGAAAGCUUCAUGGUCAGGAUCACAUACAGUAGAUACCUCCUCUACUUUGCAGGAGAAAUUUCAGAGUAAAAACAUAAAUACUAUGAAGCCCUCAAGUUCAAGGUGGAGGAUGCAGAGCUCGGUUUCCCAAUCCUGAACUCUGACCUGUGAAUUUCACGCAGUACUAUUGCAGAAUAAAAGAACAAAGCUGAACAAAGAGCAUUUAGGAAAAAAAGCUGCCUGUACCUUAGCAACCACCAGCUGUAAUAAGGAAAGGCCAUGUGCAUGGGUCUUGAAAUAGCAGCAGUUGAAUUCAAGCAAUAAAUAAGAAGAAAAAAGAGACGUGCAUCAUGAAACAUGGGGCUAAACCUGUUUCUGCCUUUUAGAAUUCCAAAUCUUGCAUGUGGGCACACUCUGGCUGAGCCAGAAGGGAAAAAGAAUCUGAGG
This is a long non-coding RNA of Ahaetulla prasina, 2888 nucleotides long. RefSeq lists it as uncharacterized. The record is from RefSeq and is a predicted model, not a curated record. NCBI's taxonomy places the organism in Eukaryota, Metazoa, Chordata, Lepidosauria, Squamata, Colubridae. The transcript has 3 exons.